Molecule: long non-coding RNA, 277 nt
Organism: Rhododendron vialii
Lineage: Eukaryota; Viridiplantae; Streptophyta; Magnoliopsida; Ericales; Ericaceae
Exons: 2
Source: RefSeq, a predicted model, not a curated record
ACGCGCACGCUUGUUAGUUGCUCGAUUUCAUGCAGCCUUGCCUUGGAUGCACACCUCCACAGGUGUGCAGUCAUAGCCUCAUACCUGGUAACAGGAGGUUUCAUUAUGUAAACACUUGGGAACUCAUUAGCGUCUUUCUUCAGCUUUUGAAUAUGUUCUUUGCUCAAUUUCAACAUCACCACGGUUGUUUCCUUCUUCUGCUCUUCUAAGUUAUUCGUUUGGCCAAUCAACAUUGAUGGUUUGCCGAACUCCAAGUGAUCAAAUCUCGGCAGUGUCA